This 307-nucleotide ribosomal RNA is filed under the name uncultured soil bacterium. RNAcentral's name for it is "bacterial SSU rRNA". It matches the Rfam family "Bacterial small subunit ribosomal RNA", at positions 26 to 346 of the family's 1533-position model. The record is from RNAcentral.
AGAUUGAACGCUGGCGGCAUGCCUAACACAUGCAAGUCGAACGGGAGUAGCAAUACUCUAGUGGCGGACGGGUGAGGAAUACGUAGGAAUUUGCCCUUAAGUGGGGGAUAACCCGGGGAAACCCGGAUUAAUACCGCAUGACCUCGAAAGAGCAAAGUGGGGGAUCGCAAGACCUCACGCUUUUGGAGAAGCCUACGUCGGAUUAGCUAGUUGGUGAGGUAAUGGCUCACCAAGGCGACGAUCCGUAACUGGUCUGAGAGGAUGAUCAGUCACACCGGAACUGAGACACGGUCCGGACUCCUAGGGA